AACGCACAUUGCGCCCGCCAGUAUUCUGGCGGGCAUGCCUGUCCGAGCGUCAUUUCGACCAUCAAGCCCCCGGCUUGUGUUGGGGACCUGCGGCACACCCGCAGGCCCUGAAAACCAGUGGCGGGCUCGCUGUCCACACCGAGCGUAGUAGCAUUUUUUGUCUCGCUCAGGGCGUGCGGCGGGUUCCGGCCGUGAAAGCCACCUUCUCGAAGGUACCCAAAGGUUGACCUCGGAUCAGGUAGGAAGACCCGCUGAACUUAA
Molecule: unclassified non-coding RNA, 261 nt
Filed under: uncultured Chaetomiaceae
Lineage: Eukaryota; Fungi; Ascomycota; Sordariomycetes; Sordariales
Description: sequence contains ITS2
Rfam family: 5.8S ribosomal RNA (bases 1-52)
Source: RNAcentral